GCCAAAGACAGGAGCAGUUAGGGCAGUUGGGGAUGGGUGCAAAGAUGCCCCAGGUUGCCACUGGCGACACCGUUAUGAAGUCACUCCAGGGUUCCGGCCGUGGCAACGAGCCCACCAAGAGCAACAAACGCCUCUGCGCAGUGCUCCUGCUCUUGCCAGGCUCUGCAAGGGAACAGAGCUCACCAACAGCCGGCUUUGCUGCUGCUGAGAGUGGCAGACAGCCUGCAGGGCACAAGGAAAGGGCGGCAUCUGGGAACCGAAGCUUUGGGAAAGCCCUCGUUUGGGCGAUGUUUGCCUGGAGGGGAGAAGACUUCUCAGCCCAGCCAAGGGCACAGAGAGCCAUCCCCCAGCCUGUGCCAGCCUUCCAGCUGCAAGAGACUGCUCAUGGCACUGAUGGCACCGCUCCGACCUUGGGCACGGCGCAGGACGACAUCUGUGAGCUGUGCAGACGCUUCAAGCUGCUGAGCAUUGGAGCCAAGCAGAUGCACAUCAAUGAUGGCCCCAAAACCACCGCUUUUGCCAGCCAUAAACUGCUCAAAGCCAAACCAUCGGAACUGGUGAGUCAAAGCGUGACCUCCUUUGGUCCCAUAUGUGACCCAUUCCAACAUGGGAGCCCUGAGCUGUGUGCCCAUCAGAGCCAGCUCAGCCAGGUGCAGUGGACAAUGCAGAGUGCUGUGAUGCCCUCCUUGGAGCCACCAACAGCUACCAACAAUGCAGCAGCAGAUGGGCCAGCAGAACGCAUCUGCCCACAUCUAUGCCCAGCUCUGCACAGGAAGCGCAAGCACUGUGCUGGGAGAGAGCACCGCCAUGGCAGCCGGGAUGAGGACUCUGCCAACCAAUUCCAGGUGGAGUUUACACACAAGGCCAAGAAGACCUGCAAAGCCUUGCCCAUCUUCCCCGUGUCUCUGCCCCGGGGAGGCCUUCCAUCCAGCAGUGCAAAUGGCAGCAAGCAGGCUCAGCCCAGCUGCGCUCCUGCCCCGGGUUUGGCUGCCAAACUGCAGAAGACUGCAGGAAGCUGCAAGACUGACGGGCCAAGCACAGGCAAAGAGGGGAU
This 1054-nucleotide long non-coding RNA is filed under the name Gallus gallus (chicken). RNAcentral's name for it is "lncRNA (ENSGALG00010029972.1)". Lineage: Eukaryota; Metazoa; Chordata; Aves; Galliformes; Phasianidae. The record is from RNAcentral.